GUGCUUGCUUGAGGCAGCACAUGCACCAACACUGGAAUAAGACAGAGAAGACUAAUAUGGACCCUGUGUAAUAACACACAUAUUUGUGAAAUAUUCCAUACUUUU
Ochotona princeps (American pika) is the source of this 105-nucleotide small nuclear RNA. NCBI's taxonomy places the organism in Eukaryota, Metazoa, Chordata, Mammalia, Lagomorpha, Ochotonidae. The record is from RefSeq and is a predicted model, not a curated record.